Long non-coding RNA from Phlebotomus papatasi, 1538 nucleotides. RefSeq lists it as uncharacterized. The record is from RefSeq and is a predicted model, not a curated record. The transcript has 2 exons. NCBI's taxonomy places the organism in Eukaryota, Metazoa, Arthropoda, Insecta, Diptera, Psychodidae.
GGAAAAUCUAUCAAUUGAGAGAAUCCAGUAGCUGCGCUAUCAACAUCCACAAAUGGCGACUGUGGAUAUUUUUCAGAGUGUCUUUUGUCCAGAAUUACUCUCGGAAAAUGGACAAAAAUGAAAAAUUUACCAACGUGAAAAAUGCUUCUCUAUAGUCAGCACGUAAAACUUUUCUUGUUAUCAGUCAGUUAAUAUUUUCGUAAAGUUAUUUUUCAAUUGAGGUUAAUUUGAAAGCUUAACUCCUUCAGCCAAUUAAAAAAGUGGCUUUAAAAAUAAUGUGUUUUGUGCUACAAAUGGAAAAUCUACACGUGGUACAAAAGGUAAAUUGAGUUGAUCUUCUCUGACAUGAUUCCACCCCUGCUGAAAGUUUCAAAAGGACGAUAAAGAGAAGUUCACUCACCCGUGACUGUGAUGUAGUGAGGGCCAGAAUCAUUCGGACUAUGCGUCUGCACGACAGCCACCUGGGCAGUCACUUGCUGAGCCCCAGGAGCAACCACAGCUGUCCCAUUCGUGGACUCAACAGCAUCAGCCGCCACCACAGUGAUAGGCGACUCAUUGCUUGAAUCCGAAUGCUCCAGCGGAACGACAUCGAUCACGGAAACUCCGCCAGGUGUUGUUGUUGUUUGCAGGAUAAUUUUCUAGAGAAAAAUAUAACAAAAAAAAAUACCAUGGAGGACUGUCUCUUUUUUUUUGUCCUCCCUGAAAACCAGGAGAAUUUUUACCGCAUCCUCACCUGAGGUAAAACCUGAUGGAGGGCAAUUGGGAUGGUUGUACCAUUUGUUCCUGGACUCGUGGCAGCGGAUGUCACCGCAAUGGCAUUUUCGCCAUUGGAUGAGGAGGGAGAUGUCAUUGUCACAGUUUGAGAUGCAGGAGACACAUUGCCUCCCUGACUAGAAACCGACGUUACUGCCACAAAAUUCCUCUGAGUUGCCAAUCUUGCAGCCAUAGUCUCAAAAAUUUAUUUAUACUCUUCAUACAGCCUCAAAGCACAGAGUUUUAAAAAAUGUAAUUUUUGUCUUGUAAGUCCUUUUUAAAAAUUUGCCGCAUUGUUUUUCUAUUUUAUUUUAUUUAAAUGCCGAGUAUUUCAAUUGAAUUUCCUUCAUUCUUCACUGAUUCAGCAAUUCAAGGACGUUUCCAUGCAAAUCAGUGAAAAUUCUGCAAAAAGGAAAGCAACAAAGAUAUUGUUUCACCUUUCUUUUAAUGCCUGAAAAUAUUAUUUACUUUCAAUCAAAGGGACAUUUUUAUUUAAAUUCGUCUUAACCCUUAAGCGCAGAGGGGAAUUUUUAUAAGAAAAUUGUAUUGUAAUGAGAAAAUAAAGUAAAGGCAGAUCAAUUGAAAAUCGAUAGACUGCCCUCUAACUAAUCUUUCACUAAAAACUUGCAAAAAAAAAAUAAAUUGUCAAAAUUUCAAUGGAGAUUUGAUAUCGAUGUAGUUUAGGUGCGACACCAAAAACCGAAUAAAUCUACAAAAACUUCUAUUGGAACAUUUUCAACGAUGUAGAAUAUGUUCUAUAAAAAUUACCAAUAUGUUUUCCAAUU